RNAcentral lists this unclassified non-coding RNA (202 nucleotides) under rhizosphere metagenome. RNAcentral's name for it is "partial ribosomal RNA internal transcribed spacer region". The record is from RNAcentral.
GAAUUUAGAGCAUGUACUAGUUACAGCUUGACCCCCACUUUCUAACACUGUGCAUUUUUUGGCGGAAAAAGUUUGAAAGGCCUUGAUUUCAUCAUCUUGACUGAUUAAUUCCUUAUCUGCGGCUCACUUUUAAACAUUAGUAUAAGUAUGUAAAGAAAUAUCGAAAUAAAAAAAAACUUUCAACAACGGAUCUCUUGGCUCU